This is a long non-coding RNA of Brassica oleracea var. oleracea, 937 nucleotides long. RefSeq lists it as uncharacterized. Lineage: Eukaryota; Viridiplantae; Streptophyta; Magnoliopsida; Brassicales; Brassicaceae. The transcript is spliced from 6 exons. The record is from RefSeq and is a predicted model, not a curated record.
GUCAUUGGGUCAUUAUUUUCGAGACUUUAACGUGUAAUCGACUCCGGCCCUUCCACUCCCUGCAAAUUAUUGUUUUUUCUCUGAAUUAAUCACGAUCCAAUCUAGAUCGUUUACUUUUGUUCUUCAUCUUCUCCAGUUUAGAGUAUACUCAAAACUAAGUUGAUUCCUUCUCUCCAUUGCUCACUAUUUCUCCGAAUCCUUGAACCACCGCAAUGAUGGUCCUAAAACGCUCCAAAUCGUCGAUCUCUGACGGUUUACUUCUACAAAGUUGCCGCCGGUCAAGUCGAUUCAGUUUUGAGAAGCCCAUAAUCCCGCUAAAGUAGGGAUGCUAAUUCGCCUUCAGCUGCUUCUGAUCGACAAAUAGUUCUUCCGAGAAUCCAUACAUUGCUUUUGAACCAGUCAAUCGGAAUCGAAAUGGGUGUUUCAGAAAUGCAUUAGUAGAGUUUUAUUUUGUGCCAGACCUUUCAAGGUCUCUAAUGCCACAACCCUUUGAGGGUUUCUGUAUCAACUAUAACAAGAGUUUGAUAAACAGGUUCUUGAUGGGACUAACUGAACUCCUUCUUGAACCAUCUCUUACAUUCAAGAUUUUGACUCUAUUUAUGAACCUCAAAACAUGUAAAAGUUUUGUAUUAGUGUUUCUUCUACUCUAUAACCAUAUUUUCUCUGUUUCAUCACUUCAUUUUCUCUGCUAGCUGACGACGGGACAAUAUAACUUGCAAUUUAAGUUAUAUGCUGGAGAUUGUUGACCAACACAAACCAAGAAUUUCGCGGCAGUGGCAUGUGUUGCAUAAGGUACGAAAGCUUCAGAUCUGUCAGAAUUUUGGAAGAGUUCCACGGAUAUAAUGAAAGAACUAAGGCCAAUCAAAGAAUCUGGCUCAGCCGAAGAUUUUGAGAAAGAGGCGCUGAUUCAGCGGUUUCGAGGCUGCUCAAGCUCAGG